GGCGACCGGCGCACGGGUGAGUAACGCGUAUGCAACUUACCUAUCAGAGGGGGAUAACCCGGCGAAAGUCGGACUAAUACCGCAUGAAGCAGGGGCCCCGCAUGGGGAUAUUUGCUAAAGAUUCAUCGCUGAUAGAUAGGCAUGCGUUCCAUUAGGCAGUUGGCGGGGUAACGGCCCACCAAACCGACGAUGGAUAGGGGUUCUGAGAGGAAGGUCCCCCACAUUGGUACUGAGACACGGACCAAACUCCUACGGGAGGCAGCAGUGAGGAAUAUUGGUCAAUGGCCGAGAGGCUGAACCAGCCAAGUCGCGUGAGGGAUGAAGGUUCUAUGGAUCGUAAACCUCUUUUAUAAGGGAAUAAAGUGCGGGACGUGUCCCGUUUUGUAUGUACCUUAUGAAUAAGGAUCGGCUAACUCCGUGCCAGCAGCCGCGGUAAUACGGAGGAUCCGAGCGUUAUCCGGAUUUAUUGGGUUUAAAGGGUGCGUAGGCGGCCUUUUAAGUCAGCGGUGAAAGUCUGUGGCUCAACCAUAGAAUUGCCGUUGAAACUGGGGGGCUUGAGUAUGUUUGAGGCAGGCGGAAUGCGUGGUGUAGCGGUGAAAUGCAUAGAUAUCACGCAGAACCCCGAUUGCGAAGGCAGCCUGCCAAGCCAUGACUGACGCUGAUGCACGAAAGCGUGGGGAUCAAACAGGAUUAGAUACCCUGGUAGUCCACGCAGUAAACGAUGAUCACUAGCUGUUUGCGAUACAGUGUAAGCGGCACAGCGAAAGCGUUAAGUGAUCCACCUGGGGAGUACGCCGGCAACGGUGAAACUCAAAGGAAUUGACGGGGGCCCGCACAAGCGGAGGAACAUGUGGUUUAAUUCGAUGAUACGCGAGGAACCUUACCCGGGUUUGAACGCAUUCGGACCGAGGUGGAAACACCUUUUCUAGCAAUAGCCGUUUGCGAGGUGCUGCAUGGUUGUCGUCAGCUCGUGCCGUGAGGUGUCGGCUUAAGUGCCAUAACGAGCGCAACCCUUGCCACUAGUUACUAACAGGUAAAGCUGAGGACUCUGGUGGGACUGCCAGCGUAAGCUGCGAGGAAGGCGGGGAUGACGUCAAAUCAGCACGGCCCUUACAUCCGGGGCGACACACGUGUUACAAUGGCGUGGACAAAGGGAGGCCACCUGGCGACAGGGAGCGAAUCCCCAAACCACGUCUCAGUUCGGAUCGGAGUCUGCAACCCGACU
This 1225-nucleotide ribosomal RNA is filed under the name human gut metagenome. RNAcentral's name for it is "bacterial SSU rRNA". It matches the Rfam family "Bacterial small subunit ribosomal RNA", at positions 90 to 1317 of the family's 1533-position model. The record is from RNAcentral.